This 684-nucleotide long non-coding RNA is filed under the name Oryza sativa Indica Group (long-grained rice). Its description in RNAcentral is "lncRNA OsMH63_09G004460". Lineage: Eukaryota; Viridiplantae; Streptophyta; Magnoliopsida; Poales; Poaceae. The record is from RNAcentral.
ACCCAGGGCACCAUCAGAAGGGGUACCCAUGGACCAUCUGGUCUUCCAUCUUCUGGUGAUGGCAAAGGCAAGGGUGUGGCAAUAACAGGAGCUAAUCCAUGGUAUUCGGGUGAUGACUCUGAUGGAAGCAACAGCAUUAGUGACAGCGAGAGAACAGUUACCGCUGAUUUCAGAAUAUUUGUGUGCAUCCUGGUGGUUAUGGUGAUCAGGAGGUGGAUUCUCGUUCAUCCAAGAAAAGAUGAGGUUGAUCCAACUGGAUGGGACAUCGAGAAUCAUCUUCGAAAUGAUCAGAAGACCAAAGAUAAGCAGUAUUACCGCCACAAGGAUUACAAUCAUAAAUUUCGCUCAAAGCCUGAAGUUCAAUAUUUUCUAGAUACUGGAAAGGCCGCGGGUGCCACGCCCAUACAACGUACAUGCUGCUGUUCUCGUCUACUACAUGACGCUCGGGUGUACGAGGUGUUCCAGAACUAUAUGGUCAGCUACCUGCUCGACGUACGGGCGCCUAGUGGCGCUCGACACGAAGAUGAUGGAACGAUCCCUCGUGAUCCCUCGUUGAGCUACCGAGGUAAGUAUCUGCGGGCGUCAAAGGUGUACAACAAAGAACGGAGCUUCAAAGCCAUAGAGAUGGCCGGCGUGAUCGGGCUAUUCGCCAUAGACGACAGAUGCCUCAUGCUCUGUGUCUAG